UACGUAGGGUGCAAGCGUUGUCCGGAAUUAUUGGGCGUAAAGGGCGCGUAGGCGGCUUGGCAAGUGGAUGGUGAAAUCCCUCGGCUUAACCGAGGAACUGCCGUCCAAACUGCUUCGCUUGAGACCGGGAGAGGUGAGUGGAAUUCCCAGUGUAGCGGUGAAAUGCGUAGAUAUUGGGAGGAACACCAGUGGCGAAGGCGGCUCACUGGACCGGUACUGACGCUGAGGCGCGAAAGCGUGGGGAGCAAACGGG
This 253-nucleotide ribosomal RNA is filed under the name uncultured bacterium. RNAcentral describes it as "partial 16S ribosomal RNA". It matches the Rfam family "Bacterial small subunit ribosomal RNA", at positions 524 to 776 of the family's 1533-position model. The record is from RNAcentral.